AGUGGGGAAUAUUGGACAAUGGGCGAAAGCCUGAUCCAGCAAUGCCGCGUGAGUGAUGAAGGCCUUAGGGUUGUAAAGCUCUUUUACCCGGGAUGAUAAUGACAGUACCGGGAGAAUAAGCUCCGGCUAACUCCGUGCCAGCAGCCGCGGUAAUACGGAGGGAGCUAGCGUUGUUCGGAAUUACUGGGCGUAAAGCGCGCGUAGGCGGUUACUCAAGUCAGAGGUGAAAGCCCGGGGCUCAACCCCGGAACUGCCUUUGAAACUAGGUAACUAGAAUCUUGGAGAGGUCAGUGGAAUUCCGAGUGUAGAGGUGAAAUUCGUAGAUAUUCGGAAGAACACCAGUGGCGAAGGCGACUGACUGGACAAGUAUUGACGCUGAGGUGCGAAAGCGUGGGGAGCAAA
This 402-nucleotide ribosomal RNA is filed under the name uncultured Novosphingobium sp. Its description in RNAcentral is "bacterial SSU rRNA". It matches the Rfam family "Bacterial small subunit ribosomal RNA", at positions 353 to 772 of the family's 1533-position model. Lineage: Bacteria; Pseudomonadati; Pseudomonadota; Alphaproteobacteria; Sphingomonadales; Sphingomonadaceae. The record is from RNAcentral.